GCCUGGGUGGCUCAGUCGGUUAAGCAUCUGACUUUAGUACAGGUCAUGAUCUCACAGUUUGUGGGUUUGAGCCCCACAUCGGGCU
Molecule: transfer RNA, 85 nt
Filed under: Felis catus (domestic cat)
Lineage: Eukaryota; Metazoa; Chordata; Mammalia; Carnivora; Felidae
Rfam family: tRNA
About the family: Transfer RNA (tRNA) molecules are approximately 80 nucleotides in length. Their secondary structure includes four short double-helical elements and three loops (D, anti-codon, and T loops).
Source: Rfam by way of RNAcentral